UUUCCGUAGGUGAACCUGCGGAAGGAUCAUUAUCAUGUAAUUCAGUCCCCUUGGCUGUGUUAUAUAUACACCCACUCUGUGUACCUUCUCCUGUUGCUUCCGCUGGGUGUGUAAUUCGCCCGGCGGAAGGGUAAAAAUAACCUCUGAGUAUUGAUGAAAUCUCUGUCUGAACCGAAUAGAAAGAGAAAUGUUAAAACUUUCAGCAACGGAUCUCUUGGUUCUC
RNAcentral lists this unclassified non-coding RNA (223 nucleotides) under plant metagenome. RNAcentral's name for it is "partial contains small subunit ribosomal RNA, internal transcribed spacer 1, and 5.8S ribosomal RNA". The record is from RNAcentral.